GUGUAAGUGCCUUACCUAAACGAUAACGAUACUUCUACAGUGACACACAAUCUAUCCAUCCCAAAAUACGCGCAAUUUGCGGUGACAGCGUGGGUGGUCCAUUCCGCCACAUCUGAAUCUCUUCUUACUGAAGCCGAAACUUAAGGACAAGACAAAGAAAAAAAAAAAAAAAAAAAAAAACAACAAAAAUCCAUAACAGAAAAGAAAACAAAAAACGUAAAAAAAAGCUAACAAGAAUAUAUCAUCCACCAGCUCCUAGAUUGAAGCUUCACUCUGAUCCCUGUGCUCGUCUCAUUCUCCAUUUUUUUUCCCCCACAAAAGGGUUCGCUGAGGAAGGUAGUGCAUAAGCCAUGGUUCUUGACAGCAUUCUAUCUUCUCCUCAUCGUAGGUCACCAUCAUUCAGGAAGCAAUUCUCGCGGGAUGAUUCAUUAAGCUGGCCAACACUCCUUCAAAGGCACCGCUUCCUCUUAACAGCUCUAGUUCUCCUAGCUUUCCUAUGCAUUGUGUAUCUUUAUUUUGCUGUCACUUUAGGUGCUUCUGGAUCAUGUUCUGAUUUAAAGGGUGCUCAGAAAGAGUCGUGUUUGGAUGCAAAAGCUUCUGUGGGCAAUGGAAAAUUGAAAUUCCUUUGACAUGUAGAUGAUAAUUAUAGUCGGAAAGCAUUUCCAUCCUUGGUUCUUUUCGAUUCUAAGGAGAUUGAAUUUAACCAUACUUUUAAAAUUGCAAUAGGUUGUUUGCUGUUUUUGAACUCAAUUGUCCUGAAUCUUAUAUAUGAGAAAUGUAACAAAAAUUUCAUUUGGAGACUAUAUAGCAAAAAUUUCAUUUGGAGACUGUAAUAACUUUGAUGUGAUUAUAUAGUUUUUUAUAAGCUAAUGUAAGUUCUUUGAAAGAAUUCAAGGGC
Long non-coding RNA from Quercus robur (English oak), 898 nucleotides. RefSeq lists it as uncharacterized. The transcript has 2 exons. NCBI's taxonomy places the organism in Eukaryota, Viridiplantae, Streptophyta, Magnoliopsida, Fagales, Fagaceae. The record is from RefSeq and is a predicted model, not a curated record.